Molecule: ribosomal RNA, 465 nt
Filed under: uncultured bacterium
Lineage: Bacteria
Description: partial 16S ribosomal RNA
Rfam family: Bacterial small subunit ribosomal RNA
Source: RNAcentral
CUACGGGGUGCUGCAGUGAGGAAUAUUGCGCAAUGGGGGAAACCCUGACGCAGCGACGCCGCGUGGAUGAUGAAGGCCUUCGGGUCGUAAAAUCCUGUCAGAUGGAAAGAAAUGCCAGAUGUCUAAUAUAUGUCUGGUUUGACGGUACCAUCAAAGGAAGCACCGGCUAACUCCGUGCCAGCAGCCGCGGUAAUACGGAGGGUGCAAGCGUGGUUCGGAAUUACUGGGCGUAAAGCGCGCGUAGGCGGCUAUUUAAGUCAGAUGUGAAAGUCCACGGCUCAACCGUGGAAGUGCAUUUGAUACUGGAUAGCUUGAGUACUGGAGGGGAUGGUGGAAUUCCCGGUGUAGAGGUGAAAUUCGUAGAUAUCGGGAGGAAUACCGGUGGCGAAGGCGACCAUCUGGCCAGAUACUGACGCUGAGGUGCGAAAGCGUGGGGAGCAAACAGGAUUAGAUACCCCCGUAGUC